AUGUAGUUCUGGAAUUCUUUGAUUGGUACCAUAGGAUCACAGUGAUGCUCAGGGACUGUUCCUAUGCCCAUGCCUUUUGGGAGGAAAACAUCCAUGCUGAAGUUCUCAGGUGUCUUGGCAAAAACUAUGCAAGGAAAAUGGUUCAGAGGGUUUUGGACAGAAUGCUGACAGGAUAUCAUGUCUGUCUGAGUCUACAUAUGGGAGGUAAGCCACGUCUAGACAUUUGAGGAUUUUUUUUGAAGUAUAGUUGAUUUACAAUAUUGUGUUAGUUUCAGGUGCACAGCAUAGUGACUCAGUUUUACGUAUUUAGACAUUCUCUUUUUAUAUUCUUUCCAUUAUGGUUUAUCAUGGGAUAUUGAAUAUAGUUCCCUGUGCUAUGCAGUAGGACCUUGUUGUUUAUCCAUUCUGUGUAUCAUAGUUUGCAUCUGCUAGU
This 433-nucleotide long non-coding RNA is filed under the name Bos indicus x Bos taurus (hybrid cattle). RNAcentral describes it as "lncRNA (ENSBIXG00000006169.1)". The record is from RNAcentral. Lineage: Eukaryota; Metazoa; Chordata; Mammalia; Artiodactyla; Bovidae.